RNAcentral lists this ribosomal RNA (406 nucleotides) under uncultured bacterium. Its description in RNAcentral is "partial 16S ribosomal RNA". It matches the Rfam family "Bacterial small subunit ribosomal RNA", at positions 30 to 526 of the family's 1533-position model. The record is from RNAcentral.
AUUGAACGCUGGCGGCAGGCCUAACACAUGCAAGUCGAACGAGUGGCGGACGGGGGAGUAAUGUCUGGGAAACUGCCUGAUGGAGGGGGAUAACUACUGGAAACGGUAGCUAAUACCGCAUACCAUCGGAUGUGCCCAGAUGGGAUUAGCUAGUAGGUUGGGUAACGGAUCACCUAGGCGACGAUCCCUAGCUGGUCUGAGAGGAUGACCAGCCACACUGGGACUGAGAAACGGUCCACACUCCUACGGGAUGCAGCAGUGGGGAAUAUUGCACAAUGUGCGCAAGCCUGAUGCAGCCAUGCCGCGUGUAUGAAGAAGGCCUUCGGGUUGUAAAGUACUUUCAGCGGGGAGGCGUUACCCGCAGAAGAAGCACCGGCUAACUCCGUGCCAGCAGCCGCGGUAAUUC